This 205-nucleotide long non-coding RNA is filed under the name Sorghum bicolor (sorghum). RNAcentral describes it as "long non-coding RNA (SBIC_LNC004908)". The record is from RNAcentral. Lineage: Eukaryota; Viridiplantae; Streptophyta; Magnoliopsida; Poales; Poaceae.
AGCUGCUUUUGUCUGUAAGUAUUUUUUUCUUUUUAUUAUACUUCUAACUUAUUUAAUUACAUGUAUAUAAUCCUUACACACUUAGUAUUUGUAUGUAUAUAUGCAGGCACCAAAUGAGAGAGCUCAGAAUCAGAAAUGACAAUAAUAUUGGGUUCGUUGACCCUUAUAUUGUUUUCAAAGCUCUGCAGGCAGUGUGGACAGCAGC